GAUGAACGCUGGCGGCGUGCCUAAUACAUGCAAGUCGAGCGAACAGACGAGGAGCUUGCUCCUUCGACGUUAGCGGCGGACGGGUGAGUAACACGUAGGUAACCUACCUAUAAGACUGGGAUAACUUCGGGAAACCGGAGCUAAUACCGGAUAAUAUUUCGAACCGCAUGGUUCGAUAGUGAAAGAUGGCUUUGCUAUCACUUAUAGAUGGACCUGCGCCGUAUUAGCUAGUUGGUAAGGUAACGGCUUACCAAGGCAACGAUACGUAGCCGACCUGAGAGGGUGAUAGGCCACACUGGAAAUGAGACACGGUCCAGACUCCUACGGGAGGCAGCAGUAGGGAAUCUUCCGCAAUGGGCGAAAGCCUGACGGAGCAACGCCGCGUGAGUGAUGAAGGUCUUCGGAUCGUAAAACUCUGUUAUUAGGGAAGAACAAACGUGUAAGUAACUGUGCACGUCUUGACGGUACCUAAUCAGAAAGCCACGGCUAACUACGUG
Molecule: ribosomal RNA, 497 nt
Filed under: uncultured bacterium
Lineage: Bacteria
Description: partial 16S ribosomal RNA
Rfam family: Bacterial small subunit ribosomal RNA
Source: RNAcentral